RNAcentral lists this ribosomal RNA (402 nucleotides) under uncultured prokaryote. RNAcentral's name for it is "bacterial SSU rRNA". It matches the Rfam family "Bacterial small subunit ribosomal RNA", at positions 355 to 774 of the family's 1533-position model. The record is from RNAcentral.
UUGGGAAUAUUGGACAAUGGGCGCAAGCCUGAUCCAGCCAUGCCGCGUGAGUGAUGAAGGCCUUAGGGUUGUAAAGCUCUUUCAGAUGUGAAGAUGAUGACGGUAACAUCAGAAGAAGCCCCGGCUAAAUUCGUGCCAGCAGCCGCGGUAAUACGAAUGGGGCAAGCGUUGUUCGGAAUCACUGGGCGUAAAGCGUGCGUAGGCGGUCAUGUAAGUCAGAAGUGAAAGCCCAGGGCUUAACCCUGGAACUGCUUUUGAAACUGCAUGACUAGAGUCCCGGAGAGGUUGGCGGAAUUCCGAGUGUAGAGGUGAAAUUCGCAGAUAUUCGGAGGAACACCAGUGGCGAAGGCGGCCAACUGGACGGGAACUGACGCUCAGGCACGAAAGCGUGGGGAGCAAACA